GCUGCUGUAGCUCAGUCGGUAGAGCGCGUCCUUGGUAAGGACGAGGUCACGAGUUCAAAUCUCGUCAGCAGCU
Molecule: transfer RNA, 73 nt
Filed under: Planctomycetales bacterium 4572_13
Lineage: Bacteria; Pseudomonadati; Planctomycetota; Planctomycetia; Planctomycetales
Also listed under: 4 other names
Description: tRNA-Thr
Rfam family: tRNA
About the family: Transfer RNA (tRNA) molecules are approximately 80 nucleotides in length. Their secondary structure includes four short double-helical elements and three loops (D, anti-codon, and T loops). Further hydrogen bonds mediate the characteristic L-shaped molecular structure. tRNAs have two regions of fundamental functional importance: the anti-codon, which is responsible for specific mRNA codon recognition, and the 3' end, to which the tRNAs corresponding amino acid is attached (by aminoacyl-tRNA synthetases). tRNAs cope with the degeneracy of the genetic code in two manners: having more than one tRNA (with a specific anti-codon) for a particular amino acid; and 'wobble' base-pairing, i.e. permitting non-standard base-pairing at the 3rd anti-codon position.
Source: RNAcentral